This 847-nucleotide unclassified non-coding RNA is filed under the name Hevea brasiliensis (rubber tree). Lineage: Eukaryota; Viridiplantae; Streptophyta; Magnoliopsida; Malpighiales; Euphorbiaceae. The record is from RNAcentral.
AAACCCUUUGCCUGUCUCUGUUACAGAGAGGGUUGCUUACUCGCAAAUCUUCAUCCGAUUCAACUAAUUUGGUGGACUGAGAAGAAGAAGAAGCAGUAGACAUGGGAGAAAGGAAGGUUUUAAACAAGUAUUAUCCGCCGGAUUUCGAUCCGGCAAAGAUUCCCAGGCGAAGACAGCCGAAGAAUCAGCAGAUGAAAGUGCGUAUGAUGCUUCCAAUGAGUAUUCGUUGUGCUACUUGCGGAAAUUACAUCUAUAAGGGUACCAAAUUCAAUUCCCGCAAAGAGGACGUUGUUGGCGAGACUUAUUUGGGAAUACAAAUCUUCAGAUUCUAUUUUAAGUGCACAAAGUGCUCCGCAGAGAUUACUUACAAGACAGACCCCAAGAAUUCCGAUUAUACUGUUGAAUCAGGUGCAACUAGGAAUUUUGAGCCUUGGCGUGGCAAAGACGAGGAAAUUGAGAAGGAGAAACAAAAAAGAGACGAUGAAGAAAUGGGUGAUGCAAUGAAGUCCUUAGAAAAUAGGACAUUGGAUUCAAAGAGAGAAAUGGAUAUUCUUGCUGGUUUAGAUGAAAUGAAAUCUCUGAAGUCAAGGCACGCCACUGUGAGUGUAGAUGCGAUGCUUGAAGCUUUGCAGCGGUCACAUGAAUCCAAGGAAAAGAAGAUGGAGGAAGACGAUGAAGCUCUCAUAAGAUCAAUUUUCCAGGGAUCAAGAGAGACUGUCAAAAGAAUCAAUGAUGAAGAACUUGAGGACGAUGACGAUGAUGACAUGGCUUUCUUUACCCGUGAAAGUGCAGGGUCAGAAAACAACUCUCUAAAGAAGAGAAAGGUUUCGGAGGAACCUGAUGAAAA